UACAGAGGUCUCAAGCGUUGUUCGGAUUCAUUGGGCGUAAAGGGUGCGUAGGUGGCGCCGUAAGUCGGGUGUGAAAUUUCGGAGCUUAACUCCGAAACUGCAUUCGGUACUGCGGUGCUUGAGGACUGGAGAGGAGACUGGAAUUCAUGGUGUAGCAGUGAAAUGCGUAGAGAUCAUGAGGAAGACCAGUGGCGAAGGCGGGUCUCUGGACAGUUCCUGACACUGAGGCACGAAGGCCAGGGGAGCAAACGGG
This 253-nucleotide ribosomal RNA is filed under the name uncultured bacterium. Its description in RNAcentral is "partial 16S ribosomal RNA". It matches the Rfam family "Bacterial small subunit ribosomal RNA", at positions 524 to 776 of the family's 1533-position model. The record is from RNAcentral.